Oryza glumipatula is the source of this 205-nucleotide non-coding RNA. NCBI's taxonomy places the organism in Eukaryota, Viridiplantae, Streptophyta, Magnoliopsida, Poales, Poaceae. The record is from Rfam.
UUUAAGUGCAACCAUGAGUUUCCACGCCCAACUUUAGUCGUCCGUCUUAUUUGAAAAUUUUUCGUAAUUAGUAUUUUUGUUAUUAUGAGAUGAUAAAACACGAAUAGUACUUUAUGCAUGACUUAUGUUUUUUAAUUUUUUUCAAAAAAUUUUAAAUAAGACGGACGAUUAAAGUUGGGUACGGAAACUCAUCGCUACACUUGAA